ACAACGGAGAGUUUGAUCCUGGCUCAGAACGAACGUUGGCGGCGUGGAUUAGGCAUGCAAGUCGAACGAGAAAGUUCCCUUCGGGGGAUGAGUAAAGUGGCGAACGGGAGAGUAACGCGUGGGAAACCUACCCUUCAGCGGGGGACAACAGUUCUAACGAACUGCUAAUACCGCAUACGAUCCGGCGACCGCAUGGUGGCCGGCUGAAAGAUGGCCUCUGCUUGCAAGCUGUCACUGAAGGAUGGUCCCGCGUCCCAUUAGCUAGUUGGCGGGGUAAUGGCCCACCAAGGCGACGAUGGGUAGCCGGCCUGAGAGGGUGUCCGGCCUCACUGGGACUGAGAUACGGCCCAGACUCCUACGGGAGGCAGCAGUCGAGAAGCUUCGGCAAUGGGCGAAAGCCUGACCGAGCGACGCCGCGUGAGCGAUGAAGGCCUUAGGGUCGUAAAGCUCUGUCAGGAGGGAAUAAAUACCCGCGGUUAAUACCCGCGGGGGUUGAAGGUACCUCCAGAGGAAGCGCCGGCUAACUACGUGCCAGCAGCCGCGGUAAUACGUAGGGCGCAAACGUUGUUCGGAUUCACUGGGUAUAAAGGGUUCGUAGGCGGGCCAGUUAGUCAGAGGUGAAAGCCAACGGCUCAACCGUUGAAUUGCCUCUGAUACUGCUGGUCUUGAGUCCGCUAGGGGAUGGUGGAAUUCCUGGUGUAGCGGUGAAAUGCGUAAAUAUCAGGAGGAACACCAGUGGCGAAGGCGGCCAUCUGGGGCGGUACUGACGCUGAGGAACGAAAGCUAGGGUAUCAAACGGGAUUAGAUACCCCGGUAGUCCUAGCCGUAAACGAUGGGCACUAGGUGUUGGAGGACUUCACCCCUUCAGUGCCGUAGCUAAUGCAUUAAGUGCCCCACCUGGGGAGUACGAUCGCAAGGUUGAAACUCAAAGGAAUUGACGGGGGCCCGCACAAGCGGUGGAGCAUGUGGUUUAAUUCGAUGCAACGCGAAGAACCUUACCCGGGCUUGACAUGCAGGUGACCGCCGUGGAAACACGGUUUCCUUCGGGCACCUGUGCAGGUGCUGCAUGGCUGUCGUCAGCUCGUGUCGUGAAAUGUUGGGUUAAGUCCCGCAACGAGCGCAACCCUUGUCCUUAGUUGCCAUCAGGUAAAGCUGGGAACUCUAAGGAGACUGCCGGUGACAAACCGGAGGAAGGUGGGGAUGACGUCAAGUCCUCAUGGCCCUUACGUCCGGGGCUACACACGUGCUACAAUGGUCGGUACAAUGGGCUGCAAGACCGCAAGGUGGAGCGAAUCCCAAAAAGCCGGCCUCAGUUCGGAUUGUAGUCUGCAACUCGACUGCAUGAAGUCGGAAUCGCUAGUAAUCGCGGAUCAGCAUGCCGCGGUGAAUACGUUCCCGGGCCUUGUACACACCGCCCGUCAAGUCACCCGAGUCGGCUGCACCCCAAGUCGCUGCGCUAACCCGCAAGGGAAGCAGGUGCCCAAGGUGUGGUUGGUAAGGGGGACUAAGUCGUAACAAGGUAGCCGUAUCGGAAGGUGCGGCUGGAUCACCUCCUUUCUA
Molecule: ribosomal RNA, 1560 nt
Filed under: Gemmatimonas sp.
Lineage: Bacteria; Pseudomonadati; Gemmatimonadota; Gemmatimonadia; Gemmatimonadales; Gemmatimonadaceae
Description: bacterial SSU rRNA
Rfam family: Bacterial small subunit ribosomal RNA
Source: RNAcentral